This 341-nucleotide unclassified non-coding RNA is filed under the name soil metagenome. RNAcentral's name for it is "partial contains 5.8S ribosomal RNA, internal transcribed spacer 2, and large subunit ribosomal RNA". The stretch from base 1 to 120 matches the Rfam family "5.8S ribosomal RNA", at positions 35 to 154 of the family's 154-position model. The record is from RNAcentral.
GAUGAAGAACGUAGCGAAAUGCGAUAAGUAAUGCGAAUUGCAGAAUUCAGUGAAUCAUCGAAUCUUUGAACGCACAUUGCGCCCUUUGGUAUUCCAAAGGGCAUGCCUGUUCGAGCGUCAUUUGUACCCUCAAGCUUUGCUUGGUGUUGGGCGUCUUGUCUCUAGCUUUGCUGGAGACUCGCCUUAAAGUAAUUGGCAGCCGGCCUACUGGUUUCGGAGCGCAGCACAAGUCGCACUCUCUAUCAGCAAAGGUCUAGCAUCCAUUAAGCCUUUUUUUCAACUUUUGACCUCGGAUCAGGUAGGGAUACCCGCUGAACUUAAGCAUAUCAAUAAGCGGAGGA